AGAAUCAACGCUGGCGGCGUGCCUCAGACAUGCAAGUCGAACGCGAAAGUCCCCUUCGGGGGACAAGUAGAGUGGCGCACGGGUGAGUAACACGUAGGUAAUCUACCUUUGGAUGGGGAAUAACAACCGGAAACGGUUGCUAAUACCGCAUAAUGCAGCGGCACCUAAUGGUGACAGUUGUUAAAGCGGGGGAUCGAAAGACCUCGCGUCUGAAGAGGAGCCUGCGGCGGAUUAGCUAGUUGGUAAGGUAAUGGCUUACCAAGGCUACGAUCC
RNAcentral lists this ribosomal RNA (273 nucleotides) under uncultured bacterium. RNAcentral describes it as "partial small subunit ribosomal RNA". It matches the Rfam family "Bacterial small subunit ribosomal RNA", at positions 26 to 282 of the family's 1533-position model. RNAcentral also lists the same sequence under 1 other name. The record is from RNAcentral.